Ictidomys tridecemlineatus (thirteen-lined ground squirrel) is the source of this 3753-nucleotide non-coding RNA. The record is from RefSeq and is a predicted model, not a curated record. Lineage: Eukaryota; Metazoa; Chordata; Mammalia; Rodentia; Sciuridae.
CUUUUACGUCACCUUUCACCGGUUCAGCACCCGUUCUCUGGUCUGCGCAUGCGCCCGCCUCAGGCCUUCUUUUGUUCCUAUGGCAACGGGUCCUUCACCAACGCCGCCUCUUUUGGCUCUUCCCGGGAUUGAUUUCCUUCAUCCUCAGGACAUGUGUUCCUUCAUCUGUCUGGCAAACAUUUUCCGACUUCCUCCUCCAUGCCCUCUUGUCCUGAAAGAAGAUACAGAAAUGAACUAGCUACGGCCUCCUGCCCCUGGGAUCUCCUGUUUUGGGGGACCUAAGGAAGCAAAGACACACAUUGUAGUAAGACUGACCACAGUGGAGACCAGGACGGGGUGCAUUGGAAUUUAAAGGGGACUGCUUAGUGACAUCACAGAAAUCUUCCCAGUGGAGAUGGCGUUUGGCUGGGUGAGAGUGUGGGCAGAGACUGGGGGGGCAUUCCAAGUGGAGGAACUGCCCUGUUUGAAGUUCAGAGGUUCCAGCGCCUGAGCCGGAGUCACUUUUUCCCUGGAGGGUUAAUUGGGAAGUGGGAAGAGAAGUAGAGAUAACAGCAUGAGGAAGCCAAGCUUGUCACCCAUCUUGUGCUUCCCUAGCUUCAGCCAAUCAUGAAACUCCCUCGGGGGGCCUUGCUAUCUAGUUGAUAUUUCCUUUAAAUCAAGUACUUUUUAAAAACCUCAAAAAGGAAAAACAAUAAUGUCCACUUAAUCGUGUACUCAAUAUGCUCUUUAUAGUUCUCUAAUGCAUAUUCAAAUUAUAUUACUGUUAAGAAUUGUUAAUGUGUCACCCAAGAUCUUCCACUGCCCACCAGUGCACCGAGCCUGCUCUCUGCAGGAGAUGGCUAUGGCAGGGAGUGAAGAGGAACUCCUGUGGAAUACCAAGUGUAUUCCAGUUCCAAACCUUAGUCCUUCCUGUUUUCUCCAUUGUCCUUCAUAUUAGUCUGUUGGGGCUGAUAAAUACAUAGACAAAAGCAAAUACCACCCAGUGGGUGGUUUAAACAACAAAAAUUUAUUUUCUCAGAGUUCUGGAGAUUGAAAGUUCAAUUUCAGGCCACCAUCAUUUUGGGUUUCUGAAGACUCUGUCCUCACAUGACCUUUUCUUGGUGCAAAGAGAGAGUGAUCUCUGAUGUCUCUUCUUGUAAAGACAUGAGAUUCCUAUUCUGUGAUCUCUUUGACUUUAAUUACUUCCUUAGAGGCCCAUUUCCAAUAUAGCCACAUUGGGGACUAGGGCUUUAGCAUAUGAACUUAGGGGACAUUCAGUCCUUAACACCCAUCUUUGGGAAAGAAGGUUUGCUUGGGAGGUGAGGUGGGGCUGAACCUUGUACUAUCUCUGCUUAGAGGCUGGGCCAUGUGGCAGGAGGAGCAGAGAUCCUUGAGGGAGGUUGGAAGUGACAUCUGGGGUCUGUCCCAGGGAGAGGACCCUGUCCACCUGGGGGGAGAUAGUGCAAGCUCCCGGCCAAGGCUUCAGGGGGUCCUCUCUCCUCUCAGCCUCUCUCCUGCAUUUUUGGAAACGUUCAGCAUGACAACCUCCAAAUCAGAAGCGAAGACAACAAAAAUUUGUUUUUGAGUCCACAGGCUCAGUUCAGCCUGCACAUGGGCUUGUUGGGCUUUUCAAUGAUCUAAAACUUUAUAGUAGUGGCCAACAUUGUAUCUCUGAAUAACUAUUUCAAUUUACUAAAUAUUUGAAAAGUUUCAUAGAACAGUGAAUGGAUGGACAGCAGGAGACACCCCUGCACACUUGUCAGAAUGGCCAAGUCCAGAGUCUGACCACACCAAUUGCUGGCAAGGACGCGAAGCCAUGGAACUCUUGUUUAUCUUCAGCCACCUGGGAAGACAGUUGGUGGUUUCUUCCAAGAUUCAACACAUUCUUACUCUCAUCCAGCAAUUGUGUGCCUGCUUAUUAACCAACCAACUGGGAAAUGUAUGUCCCCACAUGUGAACGAAUGUAGCAGUUUUAUAAUCUCCAAAACCAGAGGCAACCUGGAUGCCUUUGUGCUAGUCAGCUUCACAUCCUAUGACCAAAUACCUGAGAAAAUCAACUUUGAGGGAGAAAAGAUUCAUUUUUGUCUCAUGGUCUCAGAGGUUUAGUCCAUGGUUGCUUGGUGUUGAAGAAGUACAUUGUGACUGGGCACAUCUACAUGGUAGAGGCUGGUUUACCUCAGGAUGGCUGGGAGGUGACCAGAGAGGAAGAGGAGGUGCUAGUGAUGCAUCUCUUCCCCCACCAGGUCCCACCUCCUGAAGGUUCCACCAAAUCCCAAUGGCACCACAGGCUGGAGAUCAAGCCUUCUACACAUACACCUUUGGAGGACAUGCAGGAUUCAAACUAUAGCCCAUCUCUGAUGGAUGAGCAGGAAACUCAGGAGCAACUUUGAAGAGUGCUUUUAUUUUUAUUUUUCUUUGGUGGUGGUGCUGGGGAUUCAACCCAGGGCCUUGAUGCAUACAAGGCAAGCCCUCUACCAGCUGAGCUACAUCCUCAGCCCCUGGAGACUGCAUUUCUACAUAGUAAUGUUCCUUGGCUUCUGAUUAUUACGCAAGCUUUGUUUUUCCUUUAUAUGAACCUUCCAGGGCCUGCGCUGCUAAGUGUGUCAGGCUGUACCUUCAAAGUCCACCAGGCCGUCCCCGUUGAGGUCGAUGUCCUGCAGGAUUUCGUCCACCUCCCGCUGGCUGAGGCGCUCCCCCAGCAGGACCUUGAGGGCCGCCCGGAGCUCCCCGACGCUGAUGCAGCCGUCCCCGUUGGUGUCGAACUGUGGCGCAUUGGUCAUGGCCUGGGGUCACCGACUGGGUCUGCCCUGCUCAGCCCCCGACUCGCGCAGCCCAGCCCCCCAGCCCCAGGCCCACCUCCCGGAAGGCAUCCCGGAGCUCCCGGACGCCAAUCAUGUCUGCCGUCUCUGCCAGCAGCUUGGGGCCCAUCAGCUCCACAAAGUCCUCGAAGUCCACUUUCCCGCCACCUGGGGGGUCACACCCACCUGCUAGAGACCCCAGCCUCUGCCCCCGGCCCUCAUCCCAGCCUCAGAAAUGGGUCCUUCCCCCUCUGUUUCCUGGCAUCAGCCUCUAACUGAGGCAUGGGUUUGGCCAAGAGGAGAGCCACUGUUUAGAGCUCCCUGGACGCUCCUCGCCCCUCCAUUUCCUGACGUCGCUCAGGUCUUGGCGCCCUGAGCCGCUCUGGGGCCUCACACUGUCUCCCUCUCUGUGGAGGACAGCCCUGGCCUUGCCCCACCUCUCUUGGAGGGUGGUAGAUUUGGGGGAGGCAGAAUGCUUGCUUCGAGAACAACCUAGCCCCUGGGCUCUGGGGACAGCCUGCACGGUCACCCUGGUCCUGGCAGGGUGUCUGGAGAACUAGGGAUGGGGCAGGUUUGAAGCACGUACUGAUUUGCUGCGAGAUCUCGAUGAGCUCCAUCUCCGUGGGCAUGUAGCCCAGGGUCCGCAUGCAGGCACCCAGCUCCCGGUAGCCGAUGUAGCCGUCCCGGUCUCGGUCAAACUCCUGGAAGGCGGCCUGCAGCUCUGCCGGGCAGGGUGGGGUUAGUCCCUCCUUCGCUCCCGCUGCAUCCUAGCCUGGAUCAGCCCCUUCUCCUCCCCUGGUCCAAUCAUUCCCUCCUUCCAAACGUCAGUUCCCAUUUGCUGCCUCAGGAACUUUGCACAAGCUGUUUGUUAAAAAGUUCUUCUUUCAGUGAAUAUUGAAGGAGCAUCUUCUAUAUGCCAGGGUCUGCUCUGGGCACUAGGGAUGUAGCAGUGAAUAAAAAAAGAAAGGAAGUGCCA